UGAUUAUUUUGCGCAUUUGAUGGUGCUACAUAGCCUUCCCGGUUUGGUGCCUUCUUUUGAUAAUUACUUACUUAUCCUUUCUACCAUUUAUUCUAUGUGCCUGGUAUUUCAUUCCUAGUGUUUCAUAUGGUGCUUUAGCAAACAAAGUACUUGUGUACCAAUAGUCUUGUGCGAAUAGCUGGUUAUCUUUAAAAAAAAAAGAGUUCAUUUUUUAACAAACCAUUUUGUUGAUUUUACAAGACUAUGAAUGAAUCUCCCCUUCAGGACCUUGCAGAUGUGAGGUUAAAGUAAUCAGAAUUUUUCUGCUUGGUUAACAAAUUUAAGUGACAUUUGAAAUCCAGAUAAAGUUGAGAAUAGCUUUGAACCUAUAUAGUGAGUAAGUGGCAAUAAGUUUGAAUGGAAAGUUCAUUUAAGAGCUUGGAUUGAAUUCCAGGUAUCUGAAGUUUUUAUAAUUUUAGUUUGAAAAGCUCUUCCCAUUUAUGGUGCUUGUUACAGGCAGUGUAUGUAUACACUAUCUUUAAAUAGUUAUAAUCGGCAGCUUGAAACAUUUGUGGUAAUGGAUUGUCUGGCAUGUGAAUUUAGUGUCGAUUCCAAAUAUUUGGUACACAUUUCAUAGUGCAGCAAAUAUUAACAGAUUGGACAUUUCUAAAGAUAAUAAAAUAUCUUAGACUAGUAGAAAAUUGUAGUGUUUGGUCUCAUUUUAUAUUGUCCAGCAUUAGACAAUAUUGUUAGCAAGUAUGAAAGUUGUAUAGUUUCCUGUAGUUUUAAUACAUAAUCAAUGUGAUUACUGUAAUGGGCUAAGGUGUGACAUUAAGGCCCAUUAAAUUUAGUUUUUUUUCAAUCUUGCCAUUGACUUAACAAUGUUGCAUAGCUUAUAUAAAAAUUUAAGUGGAAGUUUAGCCCAUACAUUUGUUUUAGAAGAGUGGAAUUUGGUAGUUAUAUAUUAUAAAUAAUUUAAAAUAAAUUUGAACACUUACCAAUUAGCCAAUAAUUUUCACUUUAGUUGUGGGAAGCUGCUCCUCCUAGAUGCAAUCCACUGAAGACUCCAAAAGGACAGGGAAACCUCCAGAGUAACAAGGACAACAUCCACCUGUAAAACAAAAAUAAAGUAUAUCAAACAGG
This is a non-coding RNA of Procambarus clarkii (red swamp crayfish), 1122 nucleotides long. The record is from RefSeq and is a predicted model, not a curated record. NCBI's taxonomy places the organism in Eukaryota, Metazoa, Arthropoda, Malacostraca, Decapoda, Cambaridae.